CACGUAGGCACCAAGCGUUGUCCGGAUUUAUUGGGCGUAAAGAGCUCGUAGGCGGCUUAGCAAGUCGGGUGUGAAACCUCCAGGCUCAACCUGGAGACGCCACUCGAUACUGCUAUGGCUUGAGUUCGGUAGGGGACCAUGGAAUUCCUGGUGUAGCGGUGAAAUGCGCAGAUAUCAGGAGGAACAUCCGAUGGCGAAGGCAGUGGUCUGGGCCGAUACUGACGCUGAGGAGCGAAAGCGUGGGGAGCGAACAGG
Molecule: ribosomal RNA, 255 nt
Filed under: uncultured bacterium
Lineage: Bacteria
Description: partial 16S ribosomal RNA
Rfam family: Bacterial small subunit ribosomal RNA
Source: RNAcentral